RNAcentral lists this transfer RNA (75 nucleotides) under Pseudomonadota bacterium. RNAcentral's name for it is "tRNA-Val". It matches the Rfam family "tRNA". Rfam says of the family: Transfer RNA (tRNA) molecules are approximately 80 nucleotides in length. RNAcentral also lists the same sequence under 1 other name. The record is from RNAcentral. Lineage: Bacteria; Pseudomonadati; Pseudomonadota.
GGGCGCAUAACUCAGCGGUAGAGUGCGUCCUUCACACGGACGAAGUCGCAGGUUCGAUCCCUGCUGCGCCCACCA